GGCUAUUAUGAAAAACGAAACUCGUUCAAAAUAACGCUUAUUCGUUAAAUUGCGAUCAGAAAAAACGAUUGUAGUGACACUAAAUCGUCAAAUUGCGAUUAAGAAAAACGAGAAUCGUAAAAAUGACGAUACUCGUAUUUUUAUUUACGAGUGCCUGCAGCUCUCGUUCAGCUUUCGUUUUGGGGGUAGAUGUCAAAUGUCAUUUAUUUUUUUGUUUGGUUGGUUUUUGUUUUGUUAAGUGCACAAAAAAAUGCAAGCCUACAACUAAUGCUAAGCAGUUGGAUUUGCUGGUAGCUUUUAUGGAAACCAAUCCAAACAUAGCAAAAAAUUACUUGCCGACGAGCCAAGCCAUAGCCAAAUCCAAAAUUCUUUGGAAGGCUUUGACUGAUAAGAACUUGGAAGGCUCAUUGGGUUCGAUGAAUCUCUUAAAACUCUUCUUUUUAUACGCAUUUCCUCUUCUUCGUUAGUUUGGGAUUCAUCUUUGCUUUCAAUGAAAUAGUCGCAGUGAAAAAACAUUUUAUAGAAUUUAUGCAAAUUACAUUUAUUUUUGAAACUU
Long non-coding RNA from Eupeodes corollae, 556 nucleotides. RefSeq lists it as uncharacterized. The transcript has 2 exons. NCBI's taxonomy places the organism in Eukaryota, Metazoa, Arthropoda, Insecta, Diptera, Syrphidae. The record is from RefSeq and is a predicted model, not a curated record.